GAAUGUCGUAAGGUGGGUUAAUUAGUUAAGGCAGGAACUGGCUGUUUCACUUCUUUGUGGUUUUUCGGCUGCUCCAGACUUCUUGGCUCCUGCAGGCCACCUGGACGGAUAUGUGCAGGUCACAGGGGUUACAAUGGCUAAGCUUCAGCUCAGAGGCCUG
Molecule: long non-coding RNA, 160 nt
Filed under: Pongo abelii (Sumatran orangutan)
Lineage: Eukaryota; Metazoa; Chordata; Mammalia; Primates; Hominidae
Description: lincRNA
Source: RNAcentral